This 254-nucleotide ribosomal RNA is filed under the name uncultured bacterium. RNAcentral's name for it is "partial 16S ribosomal RNA". It matches the Rfam family "Bacterial small subunit ribosomal RNA", at positions 524 to 777 of the family's 1533-position model. The record is from RNAcentral.
GACAGAGGGUGCAAACGUUGUUCGGAAUUACUGGGCGUAAAGCGCACGUAGGCGGAUAUUUAAGUCAGGGGUGAAAUCCCAGAGCUCAACUCUGGAACUGCCUUUGAUACUGGGUAUCUGGAGUAUGGAAGAGGUGAGUGGAAUUCCGAGUGUAGAGGUGAAAUUCGUAGAUAUUCGGAGGAACACCAGUGGCGAAGGCGGCUCACUGGUCCAUUACUGACGCUGAGGCACGAAAGCGUGGGGAGCAAACAGGG